Molecule: ribosomal RNA, 804 nt
Filed under: Triticum aestivum (bread wheat)
Lineage: Eukaryota; Viridiplantae; Streptophyta; Magnoliopsida; Poales; Poaceae
Description: partial small subunit ribosomal RNA
Source: RNAcentral
AUGCAUCACAAGAGAUUUCUCUCAAGAGAUCGGUCGUGGUGGGUUUGGAGUAGUUUACCUGGUGAUCUUGGUACUGGGAAGGUUGCUGUGAAGAGACUUUCCAUAACAAUGGGUUUUUCUGACACGCUCUUUGUAGAUGAGAUUAAGUGUUUAAUAAGGACAGAACACCAUAAUAUAGUGAGAUUUCUAGGUUAUUGUGCGGAUACACACGGGGAAUUGGUGCCAUUCAAUGGAAGCUAUGUGCUAGCAGAGGUACCACAACGGUUGCUUUGCUUCGAGUAUGUCCCUAAUGGAAACCUUCAGAAGUAUCUCAAUGAUAAGUCGCAUAAAGAUGACUGGCAAAUACGGUACCAAAUGAUUAUGGGAAUUUGUCAUGGUUUGAACUAUCUCCACAACCAACGUGUUAAUCAUUUAGAUUUAAAACCCGACAAUAUUCUUUUGGAUGCAUGUUUGGAACCAAAAAUCACGGACUUCGGGAUAUCAAGAUGCUUUGAUGAAGGAAUAUCAAGAGUUUACACUAAAAUCGUUCGUGGAACACCGGGUUGUAUUGCACCAGAGAUCAUUGACAGUGGAGAAAUAACGUUCAAGUCAGACAUUUAUGGUUUGGAUAUCAUAAUCAUAAAACUAUUAACUGGGUGUAACAACUAUGACUUUGAAAAUUGGCAUACAUCUGUAGACAUGGACGACGGCCCACAAGUAAAGACAUGUGUUGAAAUAGCUCAAACAUGUGUGGCUUUUAACCAACAUGAUAGACCUGCAAUUGGUGAGAUCAUGCAAAAGUUGGACAACAUAGCGAGGUCGUGA